UUACAUACCUGGACGGGGUCAAUGGGUGAUCAAGAAGGCCCAUGGCCUAGGGAGGUGGCCUCCAUUGCACAUAAAGGAGGUGCACCACCCUAACAUCUCCCUCUGUGGAGACUGUACGUCAUAAUUUCUGGUAGUGGGGGCUGCGUACGCGCAACCCCUC
Mangifera indica (mango) is the source of this 160-nucleotide small nuclear RNA. RefSeq annotates it as U1 spliceosomal RNA. NCBI's taxonomy places the organism in Eukaryota, Viridiplantae, Streptophyta, Magnoliopsida, Sapindales, Anacardiaceae. The record is from RefSeq and is a predicted model, not a curated record. The transcript has a single exon.